AAUAUUUGAUGUAAAAAACAAUCUUUAUUAUUACCGCAAGACAUUGUUAUUGGACCCUAUAUGACUUUUUUAAACAAUACAAUAAACGUUGUACAUAUUUUCAAACAAACAAAUAUUUUCUACUAUAAACAAACAGCCAUGUAUAUGAGUUUUCAUUUUUCUAUAACUCAAUGAUUUUUUUAUUCGAUAAUCAGCGUUUUACUGUUACCAAGUUGGUUAGUGGACCAAGUUUAAAGCCCAAAUAAAAAAAUGCGAUAUCACUACACACUGCUGACUGCUCAGUAUACAAGUAGAAAACCUAGCUGAAAUUCGCAGAUGACGCGUAACGUUGUUUUUUGCUCAAGCGAAUGAGGCUCCGGCGAGGGUGAUGAGGUUUCUGUCAGAGCAACUCCUCUUGCCAUUUGAUCCUCCGAUCAAGUAUUAGCCGAUGAUUUCGACGCCGAUUCACCACCAACUACUCUACCUUUGUAUCUCUCUCUCUCUCUCUAUAUAUAUAUAUCAAUACAUUCAUACACGCAAACAUACAUACUCUCUCUCUCUCUCUCUCUCUCUGAGGGCAUUCGCAUAAUUUUUAGUGGUGUUGUUGUUGCUGUUGAUUUGUACUUCCGAUGGACGAGGCGGUGACGAUGAAAUGUAGCCUGAGCAAAUUCGGAGUUUUGGAGACCUGAUCUGUAUCUUGGCUGGGCAAUCCGGAAGGCAAUUUUUGUUGUUUGGAGUUUUCUCUCUCUAAAUUGACAUGCACAUUGCAACUGCGAUUGCAGCCAUGACGGAUUUAGGCAAAACAAACUCCUUUACAACAAAUCUGAGCCUCCGUUUUACUCUCGCAUGAAGCUUUUCGAUUUAGGAGGCAAUGACAGGAGCAGCAACAAUUGAUAGAAUGGAGGUGUAUGUGAUAUGUGUUACUGUAAAAUGUUUAUCAGGUUAAGGGGUAUAUUGGUCAAUUCCUUUAAAUGGUUUUGAUAAGCAAGGAUAUCCAACUUAUCAAAAGACUUGUUAUUAAACAAGUUCUUAACCUUGUUUAGAUGGUUUAUUCAGUAUAACAGAAAACUGCAAAUAUUAUUUGUUGAUAGUGGGAUUUGAACCAACGACCUUUGGGACCAGAACCAAAAUCUGGCGCCUUUGACCAACUUGGUCAUCUCAACAUUUGGUUUGUUCAUUGUUGAUGUAAAGCAAAAUCGGAAUCUUUUGAUCUAAUUCGUAUCUUGGCUGGGCAAUCCAAAUGAUAUGUACUUGUGUCUAGAAGUUUCUUUUCCAAAGGUAACACAACUUUGAUUGCAGCCAUGGCGGAUUUUUGGCAAUUGAAUUCCUUAGUUUACAACAGAACUAUGCCUUGGCAUUUAUUACAGCAUCUUAUUUUCAUUUCUUCUUAUUACAACAUUGUACUUUGAAAAAUCUAUCCAAUUAUAGCAAUGGUGGUGGUGGUGGUGAUAUCGGUAGUAUAUUGUACUUUGAAAAAUCAAUGGUGGUGGUGGUGGUGGUGUUGAUAUCAGUAGUAUAUCAAUGGAAAUUUGUUUAUUUGGCUGUGAUGAUUUGUCUUCUUGAGUUAAAGUUGAAACGGCAUGGAUGAUUGGAUUUUUAUCAUGGCAUGGCAUGGCAUUAUCCAGAUGGCAGAGCGGGAGGGAUUUGAUUUUCCCUCACUUUGCAACUGUGUAUGUUUGCAACCAUAUGAUAGAGACCCCAUCUUCUUUGCCUUGAGACCCAAUUACAUAUCUGAGCCUAAUAAUUUUCUUUGUUUUUCAAGUCUUUUUCUCUUGAAUUUAAUGUGAUUUUUUAUUUUUCUUCUUUGAUUUUCAAGUUUUAAGGUCUACCGGACUUGUGGUUUUAACUUUUUGUAGACGUCUCGGUUGAUAUAUUGAACUAAUUGUAGUAAUAACUCUUAGCAUUUUAUUCCUCAAUGCUUUUACUGUUAAAGUGUUGCGUAAUAUAUGAAUUAACAAGUUUUAACAUUUAUAAUAACAUUAUCAUUUUUUUGGUAGUUUAUUGUUCAGACAUAAAUAUUUGAUUUAUGUUUUUGAAGAUCUUGUCUUAAUAUGCUAGGAAAUGAAUGCAUAACAUGUUAUCUAAUAUUUAAUAAAGAAAACUCUUAUUGUAAAAAUAAAUAUCGUAGGAUUUAUUUUUGAGCUUACAUGUGUUAGUCUAACGGUUUCUUUUUUAUGAUGAAACUGAAAGACUUGUGAAAUAAUUGUUUGUUUCGAUUGUAAUUUUAUAAUAAAGGAUUUGAAAGGAUCUCUCGUGCAGUUCUGUAUUUAUUAAAAUUCAGUUGAUGCUUGUGUUUGAUUUGGAUA
Lactuca sativa (garden lettuce) is the source of this 2285-nucleotide long non-coding RNA. RefSeq lists it as uncharacterized. The record is from RefSeq and is a predicted model, not a curated record. NCBI's taxonomy places the organism in Eukaryota, Viridiplantae, Streptophyta, Magnoliopsida, Asterales, Asteraceae.